GACGAACGCGGGCGGCGUGCUUAACACAUGCAAGUCGAACGCUGAAGCUCAGCUUGCUGGGUGGAUGAGUGGCGAACGGGUGAGUAACACGUGAGUAACCUGCCCCCUUCUUUGGGAUAACGCCCGGAAACGGGUGCUAAUACUGGAUAUUCACUGAUCUUCGCAUGGGGGUUGGUGGAAAGGUUUGUUCUGGUGGGGGAUGGGCUCGCGGCCUAUCAGCUUGUUGGUGGGGUGAUGGCCUACCAAGGCUUUGACGGGUAGCCGGCCUGAGAGGGUGACCGGUCACAUUGGGACUGAGAUACGGCCCAGACUCCUACGGGAGGCAGCAGUGGGGAAUAUUGCACAAUGGGCGCAAGCCUGAUGCAGCGACGCCGCGUGAGGGAUGGAGGCCUUCGGGUUGUAAACCUCUUUCGCUCAUGGUCAAGCCGCAACAGUGGUUGUGGUGAGGGUAGUGGGUAAAGAAGCGCCGGCUAACUACGUGCCAGCAGCCGCGGUAAUACGUAGGGCGCGAGCGUUGUCCGGAAUUAUUGGGCGUAAAGGGCUUGUAGGCGGUUGGUCGCGUCUGCCGUGAAAUCCUCUGGCUUAACUGGGGGCGUGCGGUGGGUACGGGCUGACUUGAGUGCGGUAGGGGAGACUGGAACUCCUGGUGUAGCGGUGGAAUGCGCAGAUAUCAGGAAGAACACCGGUGGCGAAGGCGGGUCUCUGGGCCGUUACUGACGCUGAGGAGCGAAAGCGUGGGGAGCGAACAGG
This 750-nucleotide ribosomal RNA is filed under the name uncultured Actinomyces sp. RNAcentral's name for it is "bacterial SSU rRNA". It matches the Rfam family "Bacterial small subunit ribosomal RNA", at positions 28 to 776 of the family's 1533-position model. The record is from RNAcentral. Lineage: Bacteria; Bacillati; Actinomycetota; Actinomycetes; Actinomycetales; Actinomycetaceae.